CUACGGGUUGCUGCAGUCAAGAAUAUUCCACAAUGCGCGAAAGCGUGAUGGAGCGACGCCGCGUGCAGGAUUAAGGCCUUCGGGUCGUAAACUGCUUUUAUAGGGGAAGAAUUAGUGACGGUACCCUAAGAAUAAGAGGUUGCUAACUCCGUGCCAGCAGCAGCGGUAAUACGGAGACCUCGAACGUUAUCCGGAUUCAUUGGGCGUAAAGCGUCCGCAGGUGGUUUGGCAAGUUGAUGGUCAAAUCUCAAGGCUCAACCUUGGGACUGCUGUCAAUACUGCCAAACUAGAGGCUGGGAGAGGUAAGCGGAACUACCGGUGUAGUCGUAAUAAGCGUUGAUAUCGGUAGGAACACCAAAGGCGAAGGCAGCUUACUAGAACAUGCCUGACACUCAUGGACGAAAGCGUGGGUAGCGAAUGGGAUUAGAUACCCUGGUAGUC
This 441-nucleotide ribosomal RNA is filed under the name uncultured bacterium. RNAcentral describes it as "partial 16S ribosomal RNA". It matches the Rfam family "Bacterial small subunit ribosomal RNA", at positions 339 to 795 of the family's 1533-position model. The record is from RNAcentral.